Molecule: long non-coding RNA, 794 nt
Organism: Hyaena hyaena (striped hyena)
Lineage: Eukaryota; Metazoa; Chordata; Mammalia; Carnivora; Hyaenidae
Exons: 5
Source: RefSeq, a predicted model, not a curated record
UUUCUAAUCUUAUGCUCUAAUAAACUUUUGCCUGUUGUUUAUCCUGUGUCCACCUCUUCAUUCUUCAAAGCAGCAAAACAACGAAUCCCAGAUCCCACCAGGGACUCUAAAAACACUGAGCACUCUGAGAUCAGAAUUUAUAGAUGAGAACCUCAAGGCUCAAAGAGAUUAAAGUGCCCCAAACAUUGGACAACCUGGGAUGAGAACCUCUAAAACUCUACUAGUUCCCCAAAUUCUUGAAUCAUCUAUUACAGUUACACCUGCUUCUGGAACAUUCUAGGAGUAAUUCAAAUUAGUUCAUUAUUGGAUUCAUUAUUGAGCAUCUGCAGUGUGUGGGCAUAAUGCCAGGAGCUGAAGACACCAAGAUGAAUAAGUCAACGCCCAACCUGUCAGGUCCACCAGACCAAGGGCAAUUUGAAGACACAAGCAGUGGGAAACCAGGCCAAUAUGCUCUGCAAUCUCAAGUGAAAGGAGAUCGAACUAAGGAGGCAGGCAGGCACCAUGAAAUAAACAAGAAGAGGAUCAGCCCCAGGGUCUGGCCAGGACACUCAGAUGUAACUUCUCAAUGACGUGUUGGCUAUGUCCCUCAAGCAUUCUGGAAGCUCCUGGAGGGUAGAAGCUCUGCAUGUGACUUCUGUCUUUCCAACCUCUGCCCCUCUGCCACAUCUAACCAUCCAGCCAAUCUGGUUGACUCUUCUGCCUCCAAAUACAGCUGACCCUCAAACAACAUGGGUUUGAGCUGCACAUGUCCACUUAUACAUGGAUUGCUUUUAAUGAAUACAGUACUAUAAAUG